Molecule: transfer RNA, 73 nt
Filed under: Candidatus Sericytochromatia bacterium
Lineage: Bacteria; Bacillati; Candidatus Sericytochromatia
Description: tRNA-Gln
Rfam family: tRNA
About the family: Transfer RNA (tRNA) molecules are approximately 80 nucleotides in length. Their secondary structure includes four short double-helical elements and three loops (D, anti-codon, and T loops).
Source: RNAcentral
UGGGGUGUCGCCAAGUGGUAAGGCCCUGGGUUUUGAUUCCAGUAUUGCGUAGGUUCGAUCCCUACCUCCCCAG